Molecule: ribosomal RNA, 479 nt
Filed under: Chryseobacterium taklimakanense
Lineage: Bacteria; Pseudomonadati; Bacteroidota; Flavobacteriia; Flavobacteriales; Weeksellaceae
Description: bacterial SSU rRNA
Rfam family: Bacterial small subunit ribosomal RNA
Source: RNAcentral
GGAUGAACGCUAGCGGGAGGCCUAACACAUGCAAGCCGAGCGGUAGAGUUCCUUCGGGAACUUGAGAGCGGCGUACGGGUGMGKAACACGUGUGCAACCUGCCUUUAUCUGGGAGAUAGCCCUCCGAAAGGGGGAUUAAUAUUCCAUAAUAUAUCAWUUGGCAUCAAUUGAUAUUGAAAGCUCCGGCGGAUAGAGAUGGGCACGCGCAAGAUUAGAUAGUUGGUGAGGUAACGGCUCACCAAGUCURCGAUCUUUAGGGGGCCUGAGAGGGUGAUCCCCCACACUGGUACUGAGACACGGACCAGACUCCUACGGGAGGCAGCAGUGAGGAAUAUUGGACAAUGGGUGCAAGCCUGAUCCAGCCAUCCCGCGUGAAGGAUUAAGGUCCUAUGGAUUGUAAACUUCUUUUAUACAGGGAUAAACCUACUUACGUGUAAGUAGCUGAAGGUACUGUAUGAAUAAGCACCGGCUAACUCCGU